GCAAGGACCUGAGGUUUGGAUCCAGACAGAGGUGGGGUCAGGACCCAGGUGCCACUUAGCGCUGCGGUGACUCUGGGCAGCGUCCUCACCUGCCCGUAGGGGCGCCGUCCCCCGGAUUUGGUGGCAGUGCCCCAUCAAGGGGACAGUGUUACAGGACUGCUGGGUUCCCGUGGUACCGACGCCGGCGGCUCACAGACCCGCGUCCGGUGCCCCCCGCCCCCCCAGAGCUCCACCUUCCUCCGAGCACGCACCGCGGCGGCAGAGGGAAGGAGAAGCCGGCCCUGGAGGUCCUCGGCCUGUGGAAGGCCGUUGAUGGGCUCCCCGAUCCCCACUCUCAGCGGGUCCCCAGGAGGGGUCCGAGGGAGACCUUGGCCAAACCAGAGACGGCAGCCUGGCGCUUUUCCAGGAAUGACCCCGUGCCCAGAGUCUGAUCAGCCCUAAUAGCACCCCCGGGCCUUUGCUGCAACGCCCACCCUCACCUCAAGCCCUCACUUGGACCCUGUGGGUCACCUCCAGCUCUGACCUGUGUCCGAAGUGAGAUCUUUAUUUCCAGCCUUUAACUCCUGCGGACCCGGUGCUCAUCUGCACUCACGCUCAGGCGUAUCCCUCGAAGCCCGUUCUGAACCCCACUUUCCUCAGAACACGGGCUCCGUUUCUCCCUGUGACCUUUGCCCCAGCGGUUGCCUCAGCCCGGACUGUUCUGUCCAGAGCUUUGCGUGGCCACAUCCUUAGCCUCACGCAGAAACGGUUUUAGCCACAGCUCCCCCACCGUGGAGCCUGCCCCUGACCUUGUAUCUGACGUGAACCCGCUUUCACCUCCAUUUCUGUCACCUCCUCUUAUUUUCAUAGUAAUAUGUGCCAGUCUGUGCCUCGUCUUUGCACACUUAUCUGCUGGUUCUCUGUCAUCUCCCGAUACAAUCUAGGCUCAACCCCCCUUCCACUGCCUUCCUCCAGCUGGGCCUUCACCCCAGUUCCUUCAACCCUGGCCCUGGUUUUGGAAACGAACACCAUGCGUUUGCCCCUCUGACACCCUGCCCGCGUUGGAGCUGACACGCCUCCUCAAUCCUCCAAGCCCCACGCCCGCCGUCGCUGCCCCCGGCGCUCGGCAACACCCGCUACCACCAAGUGCCAUCUUAAAUGCGGAGGGAA
Long non-coding RNA from Hyaena hyaena (striped hyena), 1149 nucleotides. RefSeq lists it as uncharacterized. NCBI's taxonomy places the organism in Eukaryota, Metazoa, Chordata, Mammalia, Carnivora, Hyaenidae. The transcript is spliced from 3 exons. The record is from RefSeq and is a predicted model, not a curated record.